Molecule: ribosomal RNA, 253 nt
Filed under: uncultured bacterium
Lineage: Bacteria
Description: partial 16S ribosomal RNA
Rfam family: Bacterial small subunit ribosomal RNA
Source: RNAcentral
UACGUAGGGUCCGAGCGUUGUCCGGAAUUAUUGGGCGUAAAGGGCUCGUAGGCGGUUUGUCGCGUCAGGAGUGAAAACACGGGGCUUAACCCCGUGCCUGCUUCCGAUACGGGCAGACUAGAGGUAUGCAGGGGAGAACGGAAUUCCUGGUGUAGCGGUGAAAUGCGCAGAUAUCAGGAGGAACACCGGUGGCGAAGGCGGUUCUCUGGGCAUUACCUGACGCUGAGGAGCGAAAGUGUGGGGAGCGAACAGG